This 253-nucleotide ribosomal RNA is filed under the name uncultured bacterium. RNAcentral's name for it is "partial 16S ribosomal RNA". It matches the Rfam family "Bacterial small subunit ribosomal RNA", at positions 524 to 776 of the family's 1533-position model. The record is from RNAcentral.
UACGUAGGGUGCGAGCGUUGUCCGGAAUUACUGGGCGUAAAGAGCUCGUAGGUGGUUUGUCGCGUUGUUCGUGAAAACUCACAGCUCAACUGUGGGCGUGCGGGCGAUACGGGCAGACUGGAGUACUGCAGGGGAGACUGGAAUUCCUGGUGUAGCGGUGGAAUGCGCAGAUAUCAGGAGGAACACCUAUAGCGAAGGCAGCUCGCUGGUACGACACUGACGCUAAGGCGCGAAAGCGUGGGGAGCGAACAGG